Molecule: non-coding RNA, 630 nt
Organism: Xenopus laevis (African clawed frog)
Lineage: Eukaryota; Metazoa; Chordata; Amphibia; Anura; Pipidae
Source: the annotation of a RefSeq genome assembly
AGAAACUCUGUGAUUUGCAUAUAAUCUACAUGUACAUUCCCUGUGUGCUUGUGGGGAUAUAAAUAUGAGUGAGUGCAGGCAGGGGCUCAGUGAUCUGUAUCAGGCCUGUGUGCAGUGAUCAGUAUGGUGUCCCACAGCUGCUUGCUGCCUAUACUCAUGCUCUGGCUUCAGGGUUCCUAUGGGCAGAUUGUGAUGACUCAGUCUCCAGAUUAUGUCUCUGUGUCACCAGGAGAAACUGUCACCAUCACAUGUAAAGCCAGUAGCAGUCUCGUGUAUAACUCUAAAAGCUAUUUAGCCUGGUUCCAACAGAAAUCAGGGCAGGCACCAAAGCUGCUGAUCUAUUUCGCAAACACCCGACACACAAGGACCCCAGAGCGGAUCAGUGGCAGUGGGUCUGGAACUGAUUUCACUCUUACAAUCAGCAGAAUGGAAGCAGAAGAUGCAGCAGAUUAUUACUGUCAGCAGCAUGGUUGGAUACCUUUCACACAUUGAUACAGAGCUCAACAAAAACCUUCCUCUUUUAUAAUAUAGAGCAGCACCUUCUCUGUAUAAGCUUUUUCAAAAUUGAAAAAAAGGAAAUAACUAAACCACAGAUAUAUAAAUAUGUACAUUCAGUUUUAGAAAAGAAAG